AACGAACGCUGGCGGCGUGCCUAACACAUGCAAGUCGAACGUGAAAGUCCUUCGGGAUGAGUAAAGUGGCGCACGGGUGAGUAACACGUAGGUGACCUGCCUUUUAGAGGGGAAUAACCAGAAGAAAUUUUGGCUAAUGCCGCUUACGAAGCACGGUUUUAAGACUGUGCUUGAAAGAAUGCCUCUGUAUAUGCAUUCACUAAAAGAUGGGCCUGCGGAACAUUAGCUAGUUGGUGGGGUAAAGGCCUACCAAGGCAACGAUGUUUAUCCGGUCUGAGAGGAUGAUCGGACACACUGGAACUGAGACACGGUCCAGACCCCUACGGGAGGCAGCAGUGGGGAAUAUUGCGCGAUGGGGGAAACCCUGACGCAGCAACGCCGCGUGAGUGAGGAAGGACUUCGGUCUGUAAAGCUCUGUUAAUGUGGAAAAAUGGUAGUUGGUCUAAUAGGCCGAUUAUUUGAUGGUACACAUAGAGGAAGCACCGGCUAACUUCGUGCCAGCCGCCGCGGUAA
Molecule: ribosomal RNA, 513 nt
Filed under: uncultured bacterium
Lineage: Bacteria
Description: partial 16S ribosomal RNA
Rfam family: Bacterial small subunit ribosomal RNA
Source: RNAcentral